This 440-nucleotide ribosomal RNA is filed under the name uncultured bacterium. RNAcentral's name for it is "partial 16S ribosomal RNA". It matches the Rfam family "Bacterial small subunit ribosomal RNA", at positions 338 to 795 of the family's 1533-position model. The record is from RNAcentral.
CCUACGGGGAGCUGCAGUGGGGGAUAUUGCACAAUGGGGGGAACCCUGAUGCAGCGACGUCGCGUGGGUGAAGAAGCGCCUCGGCGCGUAAAGCUCUGUCAGCAGGGAAGAAAAUGACGGUACCUGAAGACGAAGCCCCGGCUAAAUACGUGCCAGCAGCCGCGGUCAUACGUAGGGGGCCAGCGUUAUCCGGAUUUACUGGGGGUAAAGGGGGCGCAGACGGCGAUGCAAGCGAGGAGUGAAAGCCCGGGGCCCAACCCCGGGACUGCUGUUGGAACGGCGUGGCUGGAGUGCAGGAGGGGCAGGCGGAAUUCCUGGUGUAGCGGUGAAAUGCGUAGAUAUCAGGAGGAACGCCGGUGGCGAAGGCGGCCUGCUGGACUGCAACUGACGUUGAGGCCCGAAAGCGUGGGGAGCAAACAGGAUUAGAUACCCGAGUAGUC